This 228-nucleotide ribosomal RNA is filed under the name Stenodactylus sthenodactylus (elegant gecko). RNAcentral's name for it is "partial 12S ribosomal RNA". Lineage: Eukaryota; Metazoa; Chordata; Lepidosauria; Squamata; Gekkonidae. The record is from RNAcentral.
GUCCCACAUCAACCUAGAGGGGCCUGUCCUAUAAUCGAUAGUCCACGCUUCACCCACCCCGCUCUAGCUUUUCAGUCUAUAUACCGCCGUCUUCAACUUGCCUAUUGAUAGUCACCAAACACGUACAACUGGCCCCCCCCCCAUACGUCAGGUCAAGGUGUAGCUAACGAGCCGGAAGAGAUGGGCCACAUUUUCUUUCCACCAAGAAAAAACCACAAGCGCCAUGAA